Molecule: long non-coding RNA, 2633 nt
Organism: Pseudopipra pipra
Lineage: Eukaryota; Metazoa; Chordata; Aves; Passeriformes; Pipridae
Exons: 3
Source: RefSeq, a predicted model, not a curated record
GAUUGCAAAGCUCUUAUUUUUAUAAGAAUUUCAGGAGCAGAAUAUUUUAUAGGUUUUGGUGUGCUUUUACUAAAGGUGAAAAACGCAUUUUUUUUUAAACUAAUUUUUUUGAGAGUUAUUGCUGCAAAGUAAAAGCCCUUUUAGUCAGAAGGAAAAUAAUGGAUUUACCUUGAGAUGUCCAAACAGAGUGAAGUAUUCAAGUUCAAAUGAUAGCAUCAAUUCAGAUGGUAUUGUCGCUAUAUAUUGGGUUACUGUCCCAUCCUUCUGACGUAACAGAACAUCUUAUUCACCAAUUUUUACAGCCUUGGCAGAUGAAGAGGUAGACAGCUUGUUGAAAGUAGGUGGUGUUGUGUUCACUCCCUUUCCCCAGAGGAUCAAAUUUGAUUGGAACCAAUCAUUUUAAAUGAGCAGCUUAUUUUGUGCAUUCCCAUUUUCAUUACUUGCUGUUCACUUGUUUAUCUUAAUCCAUUCCCAUAAUGACCAGCUACACAGUUUUGCCAAGUCCUUCAUAGCUCAAUCAUUUUAGUCUUUCUUUUAUGUUGGCUUCUCCUAUGGUUUUCUCUCCUUUCUUUCUCCAUUUUGCACACAUACCCCUUUUCCUGUAAAGAUAAGAUUAAUUUUUUCCCUAGUUGUAUGUUUUUCCUAAAGUUUUUCUCAUAGGAGAAAGUGUUUUUCAGUGAAGGGAUGAUUUAUAUUUGGACAGCUUUAAUGGAGAUACUGGCUUUGGGUGAGAAAUAACUGUAAGGUUCUCAGGGGUUGUUAUUGGUAGUUAUCACAUUUCACCCUCAUUCUUCAUUGCUGACUUGUUUAUCUCUUCAGUUAGACAGGGAACUUAAUUUCUUGCUAAAGAAAAGGUAGAGCUUCCAAAAUCCCGAGGCAGAAUGCAUGCAGGUAGGGAAGGAAAGAAUGAACAAGUGCCAAAGCUUGUGAAGAUGGGAGGGGAGACUGGCAGCACUUUCCAUUUGAGUUGUCAUUUGAAAUUUAAAGCAUGAGAUUGAUUCUGCAGAGCAGAGGCAGAUCUUUAUGCCUGUUUGGGGUCCAGGUAUCUUCUGCAAGAUUCUUUCUAAAUUCAAGGAGUUAUUCAGAGAAAUAAAGAAAUGGAAGAAAGCUUAAGGAAAAAGGAAGCAUUGAAGUGGCUAUAUUCAAGCCAAACAGUAGAUAGGAUUACCAAGCAAAUUUAAUCAAUAAUGCUUAUUCCCAAUCAGGUUCACUCAUUCCAUUCCCAUUUAAGUGUAUAAUUUAAAAAAGAUUAAUUUCUUUUUUUUUAAUGUACUAAUCAUCCUCACAAACAGUCUUUCUGAAAGCUCAGGUUUUGGAAAGUGCCUUACUUUCUUCUCUUAAAACAUCACGAGACUCUCAGUCUCUGGUAGCCUGUAUGGCAUUUUUUCAAGGUGGCCAUGGCAUUUAUGGGUGCAGACCUCUAAGGGGCACUUAAGUUAAGCAUAAGGAAAAAUAAUCUAAUAAGAAGACAAGUUAAGCAUGGAUACAGAUUGAUUGUAGAUACUGUGUUCCCCGGAGACUGGAGGGUUUCUAAGACACUAGAGAAGCACCUGUCUUAGUAAUGUUGGUUUUGGUUUGAGAUGGGGACGACGUCAUGUGUGCUUCUUCCAGAAACUUCUGAAGUUUCUGUUGUAAUCACUUGAUGGAAGUGGAAUUAGAACAGUUGAUACUGAUAUCUAUUAAUCAUAUAGAUUCAAGACUUUAGGGUGCAAAGAGAUUAAAAAAAGAAGAAAACCAAAUCCUGACAUCACCUUGUGUAGUGGUAGAAUGAAAAAAAAAGAAAUGGAUUUUUAUUAACAUGUUCUGUUGUACUUAUGAAUUUAUAUUUGCAAGAUCUAAUGAUGAAGAAGAGGAGUCAGACAAGCUUUAUCAUGUGCUUGGUAGGCAGCAAACCUGCUCAGCUCUGGAGAUGGAUACCUGGAGAGGCAUUUCCCUCUGAUAUAUCGCCUGGAAUUAUUAUAUUGUACUUUUGUCAUUCUCAGUUGUGACAGUUAGAACAUGCAGGAAGAGUGUUUGCAGUGCUUUGGGAGAAGUGGGCCUAUUGUUUGGUUACUAUUGUGCUGGACUUGAGAAAGCUGGCAAAAAAUAAAUUCACCUUUCUGUCCUCCAGAAAUCAGGAGUAUGUGGAGCCUCUGAACACUUGGGCGUUUUGAGUAACUGCAACAGUGCCAGGACCUUGUUCCCACACUGUAAAUACUUGAGGAUAGUUGGCCAAGGUAAAUAAUAGGAAUUACAGAGUAACUGAGAUGAUCUUUUGGAAGCAUGGUGUUUGAUCCUGACAGCUCAGGCCUGCUCCAGUGCCAGAAUGCCUAAACAUUAAACCUCAGAAGGAACUGUGGAAGGAUGCAGUUGACUUCUUCCUGCAGUACAGAAGUCACUUGACUCUGGAGUGACACCUGCCUUUUUGGUUUCAGUUUCCAUUACCAAAAUGGAUUUUCAAACUGUAGGUAGUAAAAUUCCAGCACUGGAGAAGGUGACCACAAAUUCAAGACCCCAUGUAGUAAAGAAAUAAGAAAUUGAAGUGUGGAACUUUUUAAGAUGAGUCUUUAAAAGACAAGUGAUGUUCUGAAUAGCAAAUGAUUUAUGCAAAAUAUGUUACAAAAUCUAAGAUGCCAAAUAAAUAACCAAUAUAA